CCUUUGGUGUCUAAUGUUAACCCUGGAGUCACAAUCGAAGGAUAAUAAAAAGAAUCACCAAAAUAUCUGGCUAAUGCCUGCUUCGGAAAUGGAGAAGAGUGGCAGUUGCAUUGGAAACCUGAUUAGAAUGGAACAUGUAAAGAUAGUUUGUGAUGGGCAAUAUUUACAUAAUUUCCAACAUAAACAUGGUGCCAUACCUGUCACAAAUCUAAUGGCAGGUGACAGAGUUAUUGUAAGUGGAGAAGAAAGGUCACUGUUUGCUUUGUCUAGAGGAUAUGUGAAGGAGAUUAACAUGACAACAGUAACUUGUUUAUUAGACAGGUAAUGAAAUGUUACUUUUUUUGAUAACAGCUUUAUUGAUAUAUAAUUCACAUCUGUGUAGUUCAUCCAUUUAAAAUGUACAAUUCACUGGUUUUUAGUAUAUUCACAGCGUUGUGCAGCCAUCAUCACAAUCAACUUUGAGUAUUUUCAUCACCCC
This 478-nucleotide small RNA is filed under the name Pongo abelii (Sumatran orangutan). Its description in RNAcentral is "retained intron". Lineage: Eukaryota; Metazoa; Chordata; Mammalia; Primates; Hominidae. The record is from RNAcentral.